GCUCAGGAUGAACGCUGGCGGCGUGCUUAACACAUGCAAGUCGAACGAUGAACCUCACUUGUGGGGGGAUUAGUGGCGAACGGGUGAGUAACACGUGAGUAACCUGCCCUUGACUCUGGGAUAAGCCUGGGAAACCGGGUCUAAUACUGGAUACGACCUUCCCGCGCAUGCGRUGUUGGUGGAAAGCWUUUGCGGUUUUGGAUGGACUCGCGGCCUAUCAGCUUGUUGGUGGGGUAAUGGCCUACCAAGGCGACGACGGGUAGCCGGCCUGAGAGGGUGACCGGCCACACUGGGACUGAGACACGGCCCAGACUYCUACGGGAGGCAGCAGUGGGGAAUAUUGCACAAUGGGCGCAAGCCUGAUGCAGCGACGCCGCGUGAGGGAUGAAGGCCUUCGGGUUGUAAACCUCUUUCAGUAGGGAAGAAGCCGAUCUUCUGGGUUGGUGACGGU
This 451-nucleotide ribosomal RNA is filed under the name Arthrobacter pityocampae. RNAcentral's name for it is "bacterial SSU rRNA". It matches the Rfam family "Bacterial small subunit ribosomal RNA", at positions 22 to 476 of the family's 1533-position model. The record is from RNAcentral. Lineage: Bacteria; Bacillati; Actinomycetota; Actinomycetes; Micrococcales; Micrococcaceae.